UACGGGGGGGCAAGCGUUGUUCGGAAUUACUGGGCGUAAAGGGCUCGUAGGCUGCCAACUAAGUCAGACGUGAAAUCCCUCGGCUUAACCGGGGAACUGCGUCUGAUACUGGAUGGCUUGAGUUUGGGAGAGGGAUGCGGAAUUCCAGGUGUAGCGGUGAAAUGCGUAGAUAUCUGGAGGAACACCGGUGGCGAAGGCGGCAUCCUGGACCAACACUGACGCUGAGUGAGCGAAAGCCAGGGGAGCAAACGGG
RNAcentral lists this ribosomal RNA (253 nucleotides) under uncultured bacterium. Its description in RNAcentral is "partial 16S ribosomal RNA". It matches the Rfam family "Bacterial small subunit ribosomal RNA", at positions 524 to 776 of the family's 1533-position model. The record is from RNAcentral.